This 468-nucleotide ribosomal RNA is filed under the name uncultured bacterium. Its description in RNAcentral is "partial 16S ribosomal RNA". It matches the Rfam family "Bacterial small subunit ribosomal RNA", at positions 28 to 507 of the family's 1533-position model. The record is from RNAcentral.
GACGAACGCUGGCGGCGUGCUUAACACAUGCAAGUCGAACGGAAAGGCCCUGCUUUUGUGGGGUGCUCGAGUGGCGAACGGGUGAGUAACACGUGAGUAACCUGCCCUUGACUUUGGGAUAACUUCAGGAAACUGGGGCUCAUACCGGAUAGGAGCUCCUGCUGCAUGGUGGGGGUUGGAAAGUUUCGGCGGUUGGGGAUGGACUCGCGGUUUAUCAGCUUGUUGGUGGGGUAGUGGCUUACCAAGGCUUUGACGGGUAGCCGGCCUGAGAGGGUGACCGGCCACAUUGGGACUGGGAUACGGCCCAGACUCCUACGGGAGGCAGCAGUGGGGAAUAUUGCACAAUGGGCGGAAGCCUGAUGCAGCAACGCCGCGUGCGGGAUGACGGCCUUCGGGUUGUAAACCGCUUUCGCCUGUGACGAAGCGUGAGUGACGGUAAUGGGUAAAGAAGCACCGGCUAACUACGUG